AUGGUCGCCAUCGCCACCUCCUUCUCCGCCGCCGCCGCCGUCGCCGUCGCCCGCCGGAGCUCCCCGGCUCACCUCCAGCUCGUCGCUCGCCGCCGCCUCCCGUUCUGCACCGCUGCCUCCUCUUCCUCCGCGCCCCCUGCUGCUGCGGCGGGCUUUGGGUGGGCCGACGCCCUCCGAGUUGCCAGCGAAUUCGGGGUCGGCGAUGAGUCCGACCUUUCGGGGUACUUCCGGAAGGUCGACAUCUGCAACCGAGGAAUGGGUAACAAGGGGGAGUUUGUGGAGUUCAUGGUGGAGGAUCAAGUGGUGGGAUACAUCCACAAGGGUUUUACCGAACACCUGAGGGACUUCCCUGAUGUUUUUACCAUUGUCUCGGGCAACAAUGGUAAGAACAGUGUGGAGCAUGUGACUCUCCACUCAUCGCUCAGGACUCCAAAAGAUCGAACAAUCGCCAUCGGAGAUGUCAUAAAAGGCCUAGGGGAACUCAUUCCUGGUAUACGAAAUGAGCUCUAUCCAGUAACCUCAUCUUACGGCAUGCCUGUGUACUUCUCUCUGGAACGUGCUGCUGCUCCCUACUUUGGUAUAAAGGUUUAUGGUGUUCAUAUGAAUGGGUACAUCGAGAAGCAUGGUGAAAAAUCUCUUUGGAUUGGUAAGAGAAGUGAUGUGAAGCAAACUUACCCUGGGAUGCUAGAUCAUCUUGUUGCUGGUGGCCUGCCUUACGGAAUCUCCUGUAAAGAGAAUGUCAUCAAGGAAUGUGAAGAGGAAGCAGGAAUACCAAGAUCCAUGUCAACCAACGCUACUUCUGUUGGAGCCGUUUCUUACAUGGAUAUCAAUGGGUUUAGAUACAAAAGGGAUGUUCUGUUCUGCUAUGACCUUAGACUUCCUUUAGAUUUCGUUCCUAAUAAUGAAGAUGGAGAAGUUGAUAGCUUCAGGCUAAUCCCUGUACCACAUGCUGCAAACAUUAUACGGAGGACAGAUUUUUUCAAGUCAAACUGCAACCUUGUGAUCAUUGACUUCCUCUUCCGUCAUGGGUACAUAAACCCAGACUGUAAUGGAUACCUGAAGCUGCUGACAAGCUUGAGGAGUGGUGAUUGUUCCUAG
This 1098-nucleotide ribosomal RNA is filed under the name Triticum aestivum (bread wheat). Its description in RNAcentral is "partial small subunit ribosomal RNA". The record is from RNAcentral. Lineage: Eukaryota; Viridiplantae; Streptophyta; Magnoliopsida; Poales; Poaceae.